AAAAGGAGGGACGAUUUCAGAUUUCUCUCUCCAGCCACGCAGUCCUGGGACAAUCACAGCCAAAUUCUUGAAAUUCUGCUCCUUUUAAUUCUUCCAUUUUACUGCCACUCUUUCUAGGCUUCUUUUAAAGAUACAAUGUGGUGACACAUUUUAUGUGAGUGCUUCGUGCUUAUCCUUGGAUAUCUCACCACUACAACCUCAGCCUGGGAGAAACCAAACCUCGGCAUUGACUUCCAGGCUUGACUUGAAUUCACUGUGCAGCCUAUGCUGAUCUCAAACUCACGGUGAUCCUCCUGCCUCAUCCUCUGAAGUGCUGGGGUUACAGGCCACUUCACAACUGAGCCAAAUGCCUAUAACCAUUGGGGAAGUGUCAGAAGAUUUUGCCUACCUUAUUGUGCUUGGUGACUGCGUGCCUCUGAUUGAGCUCAGGUAUGUGGAGUUUGGAUAGACAGCUAAGCUCAACUCCUAAAUUUGCUGUUAUGGCUGUCAGUCAAAUUAUGUAUCCAAGACAUUUUCAAGAAUUGACACAUGCAGUCUACCUAAAGGAAACUCAAACAGUGCCCUGACCACGCAGCCGCGCUCAUUUUCCACCUGAUCCUCGCUGGCUCAUUAGACGUCCUCCGCGCUCCUCCGCAGCAGCUCUCCUAAUUAUGUCGGUGGUGCACAGCGUGGCUCCUUAAAGACUCUGCUUCUUCACUCCGUUCACGCUAUUUCACUGGAGAGGAAAUCUGCAUCCACGCUCCAGCAGAAGCCAUAGGUCACCACGUGGAAAGUUGGAGGGCAAAAAGUGUUGUCAGUAAUGAGAUCGCAGGCAUUUGGAAAGUUCACAGGGUCCUUUGUACAACAGGGAAGAAUCCCUCUGUUUCCUUUGGUGCGGCUUCAUGCUAAUUUCAGAACAUCAGCCAGCUUUCGUGUCUCCACUGAAACUUCAGUUCACAAUGGAGCCCCUUUCAUCCUUUUUUUUUUUUUUUUUUUUUUUUUUUUUUUUUUUUUUUUCCAGCUAGGCAGCUAGAUUUAUCUUGUUGAUCUGCGGAAAAAAAGAAAAAAAGAGACAGUCACAUGAAUAUAACAGAUGGAACAAAUUGAAGGGUUUGCUUCUAUUACUUUUCUUCUUACAAAAAUGAGAAAGGAAUAUUGUUUGUCGACGGAGCACAUAUUGUUAUGAUUAUUUACUAUACGGAAAUUAGGUGACAGCCUAAAACGCUAAGAUCUUUGUAAAUUGCUGACAAGGGCUGAAUGGCAACAAAUGCACUAAUUCACAAUGCAGAAUUUGUGUCUUCACUUUGUCAUUAAUUUUUCCUUGUGAUUCCUGCGGCUACGUCCAGCAAAAGAGCAGACACCCAAAUGCACCCAUUCUCAUUCUCCUAUUUCUGACCAGUUUGAUUUUACCUCGUAGAGAAAGCAGUGAGCAUGGAGGAAAGGAAAUGAUUGACUUUCCAACCUGGAACUGUGUGCUGUGUUGCCUCUGAACCGUGUUUCCGCUGUGCCAUUGCUCUGAACACAGACAGGCGUGGAGAAUCCUGUAGCCCCUCAGUAGCCCCAUCAUCCUCCGGAGCCCCAGGUGUGACUUGCCCAAGACACAUCUUCACAGUUCAGGGGAGAAAACACAUAGAAACUUCAACUCAGACUGACUUCUGAUUUUCUGCUGGUUCCAGUCCAUGUGUUCAAAUCCCAGUGUUAAUGAUAUUCUCACCCAAUUGUCUCAUGUAAUUUCCGCAUUUCUAGGUUUAAGAGUGACGAAGAUUCUUUCUGUUCUUUCUUCACUAGUCUUUCUUUUUCAGAAGGUGUUUCAUGUUAAAUUAAGAAAUGAGCCAUAACCUUUGACUUUACCACUCUAACAUAAGGAAAUGGACAUUCGCACAUUACAUCCUCAAGGUUGUUUUAUAAGGCUGUUAGUGAAAAAUCUUCCCAGGGGUGAGUUUUAUUGAUUGAUUUUUAAUAUGAUAUGAAUCUUUGAAUCAACUGUGUUACAAUUUAGUAGUUGGGUUGGCUGAAAACAUCAUUUUUCUAUGUUGUUGGUUUGAUCUUUGUCUUGGUCUGUUUUCUGGACUGAGAAUGAACAAGCAAGCAUAUGCAAGAUGAGAAAGUAAAUUAAGCCAAACUCAUCCUUUAUUUAGAAGCCCACUCCUUCAAAAGCUAACCCCCUCACACGAUAAUGGCUUUCAUCCAUUCAUGAAGGCAGAGGGCUCUUGAGCUAGUCUUAAAAAUCCCACUUCUCACAGUAGAAAUCAAAUGUCAACACAUACUAUAGAGAUUACAUUCAAACCGUAACAAUUCUAUGCACAAGACCUCAGGAUAAAGACAAUUAUAGAAUGUCAACUCGUAAAGGACAUUAUAAAUACUAGCUUGUAUCAGUAGUAAUGUUUUACUGAAAGUUAGUGUCUUAUUGAAUUACUGUAUUUUUACUGAAUGAGAUUAAUGAUAAAGAUUCUCUUCCCCUGAUCUUUCAACUCACCUGUGUCUCUAAUAUUUCUGGAAUAGCACUGCAUAUUUGUUGUUGUUGUUUUGUUUGUUGAUUUGUUUGUAUGUUUUAUUGGUUCCGGGGAUCAAACCGCAGUCCUCCUGCUUGCCAGGCAGUGCUUAUGCUGCUGGGCUAAAACCCAGGGAUGCAUACUGCUUUUAGGGGGAAACUUUUUCUAACUCAUUUCACAAUUCCCACUCUGUCUGGCUGAUACUGUUUUACAUUCUUAACUUAUUCUUUGCUCCUUACGAGUCUUCCUAAGAAUAAUGUAUAAAAUGAGCAAUGUCUAUAUGAAUAAAACUGUUACUCCCAGAAAAACGUGGAUCUACACAAGGUGGACUUAAAUUUAUUGUUCAGUGUUAUAUCCUUUAAAAGCAAACAAUAGGUUCAUAUUUGGAAAAUAAUACAAAUUUGUUAAAUUUAUAUGUCAUUUCUAAAAAUACAGUUAGUAUUUGACCCAUUGUUUUACCUUCCCUUGUAGUUAUAACCUUUUUGCUUAACCCUAAAGAUUCAAAGAGAAGUCUUGCUAAUAUUUAUAGCAAGGUAUUCUACAAAGAGACAAAAGUAAGACUAACAGAAAAUAUAUCCAUGGACACCCUAAAAGUAAAUAGCACAAUAUUUAAAAAGUCUUUUAAGAGAAAAAUUCUAAACAUAGAAGACUAAAAUUAUACUCAAUUUUGAAAGUAAAAAAGACAUUUUAAGUUUUGAUUAUUCAGAAAGUGUGUUUCUUUUUGAUUUUUUUUUUUUUUUUUUUUUUUUUUUUUGACGCUGGAAAUGGAACUCAGAGCCUAGUACUUGACAGGCAGUUCCUGAGCUACUGAGCUACAUACCUGGCCCUGUAUUCUCUUUUGAAGAGAUUAUUAGAUGAUAUACUUCCAAAGUGAUUGUGGAGACACACAUAUAUAUCAUAUAUUUCCUCCUCAUGAUGAAACAGAAAGAUCAAAAGCUAAACAAGAAAAUAAAAGCCAAGACCUGGAACAUGUUUAAACUACAAGUAGAAUCUAUCAACAUACUUGGGCUAAGGGAGAGGAAGAUUAUAGAUAUUAUCUAGACCUUAGGAACAUUUGAAGGAACUUAGUGAUAAGCAUCCUAACUUGUAUUACAGGAACAUUUCAACAUCACUUAAUAAAGAAAAAAAAUCUAUCAGCGUGACCAAAGAGAAAAAGUCUGGAGAGAAAACAAUUGGAAAGCACAGGAAAAAAGGAGGCAAGAUAUAGAUAUAGCAGUACAAAAAAUACUUAAAAGAGAAGAUACAAAAGGUAUUCAAAAUGGAUCUAGUGGUACAGUGCUAAUUCCAGACACAUCAAACUGAUAAAGUUUAUUAAUAAAAGACAUAAAGGUGAUAAGAAAAAGAAAAUAAAAGUAACACUUUUAAUAUGGAAUAUGAAAACCAAUGUAAAAGUUGAAAUUUUAUCAGAAGGGGAUGUCCUGAAUGACAAAAUAUACCGUGAUAUGAGUUUGGAAGAUUUGUAUUAAUAAUUGAAAUUUUAUGUAAGGAAAUAUAUUAAUAAAAAUUCUGUUAUUAAUUUCUAUUAAUAAAUUUUAUAUCAAAAAGAAGAAA
This is a long non-coding RNA of Cavia porcellus (domestic guinea pig), 4022 nucleotides long. RefSeq lists it as uncharacterized. The record is from RefSeq and is a predicted model, not a curated record. Lineage: Eukaryota; Metazoa; Chordata; Mammalia; Rodentia; Caviidae. The transcript is spliced from 6 exons.